Jatropha curcas is the source of this 2228-nucleotide non-coding RNA. Lineage: Eukaryota; Viridiplantae; Streptophyta; Magnoliopsida; Malpighiales; Euphorbiaceae. The record is from RefSeq and is a predicted model, not a curated record.
CCAUUUUCAAAUUUUUCUGAAAUAUUGAUCUCUCCGCCAAUCUUCUUCUUUAAUGUUCAAAAACUGAACCUUCUCUCUCCUUCAUUAUCAGUAACAACUAACUUCCUCGUGAGCUCCUUCUUUACUUUACCAAAUGCCAGACCUCCAAAUCCAUUUUCAUCAAAUUAGCAUUUAAUUCUCGAUAUUAAAAUGGUGAUAAAUAUCCCUGAUUAACUUUCCAUAUAUGUUUGAAUAUUUCCUUUUAUCAGAUUAUAAUUGGGGAUUUUUUCUUUACCCACUCCAUUUCACAUGGCGACGUCGGCGUUCAAGUCCACCACUAAAAGAACGCCUAUUGCCAAAUCCUCUGCUCCCGCCGCCACAGAUGAAUCUUCUUCUUCUAGUCGGAGUAGCUCGAUUCACCGUCGGUCUCGAAGUCUCAGCCGAUUCUCCCGACCUAUGCCUGUUCCGGGAGAUGACUUAUCCGACGAUGCUCCGGUUCCUAGAGGGAGGUUUGUCAAUACCGUUAGAGGAUCGGGGUUUCCAGAUAUUACUCUUGAUGAUCUCGCUGUUAAGUUCUUUGAUUCUACUGAUCGAGGUCGUUCUGGUUCGAGGACUGAUGACGUCGCCCCUGGGGAUAGAAUGAGUGUGUCUCAAAGAAGAGGGAGGUCUGUGUCGAGGCAUAGCUCGAGAGUUGGUGAAGGGAAGGCUAGUGGUGGAAAUAGCUAUGGUGGGGGACGGGUCAAUUCGGAAAAUAACUCGAGGAGGAGGCGAUCGGUUUCGGUGGUUCGAUAUCAAAUUAGUGAUUCUGAGAGUGAUUUAGAUCAUUCGCAGACUUCAGCAAAUUGUGCUACGUUGAAGAGUUUCAACGGUAGAAAUAGCCAGGUGCCAUUAUCAAAUAAGACAGGUGCUUCAAAUCAAAGACAAGGACUUAGAAGGUCUCUGAGCCAAAAAGAUCUGAAGAACCAGGAUGGCUAUUCUAGCCACUCGUCAAUACUAACUGAUGAUGAAGGAAGAGAUGCUCAUCCCGAUGUACAUCGCACUGAGAAAACAAUACGAGCUGUUUAUGCACAGAAGAAGGCUGAGCAUCCCACUGCUGAUGAUAUUGAUAUGAACAGUGGGCUAUAUGCAGCAAUGCGAAAAGAACUAAGGAAUGCAGUAGAAGAAAUCAAAAUGGAACUUGAAAAAGGCAAGAGAAAACCAAAUAACUCUGGUUUAGCAAGGAAUGACAGCUUGCAAUCCAAAAGUUCUGAUGUUCUUCAGGCCGUUUCUACUAUUAGGAAGAAUUAUGCAUCAAAGUUGGAACUGUCUGAGAAACGUAAACAAGAGUUAUUAUCAGAAAUAUUGUUGGAGGAGCAGCGAGGGAGGGAACUUAACAUGAUUGUGAAGGAAUUGCUUCCUGAUCCAAAUGACAGUGUUGUGGAAAGACCAGCACGAACUCGGAAGAAAAGCAAUGACAGAAGCAGGAUGUCUAAGCGAUUGACUGAGGAUGCAGAGAAAUAUAUUGAAGAUUUCAUUUCAAAUCUUGAAGAUACAGAUAUCUCAUCUAUAGAUGGGGAAAGGAGUAGCGAUACAAGUUCAAGUUUAGGAGGAUUACCAAAGACACAAAAUUUCCAAAGUCCAGUGAUGUCCACCAAGUCUUUUCCUGUUGAAAUGGACGGGGUUGUCCUGCCUUGGUUACAAUGGGAAACUUCUAAUGAUGCUUCUCCUUUAUCGAGCAAGAAAACAGAGUCGAUGGCAACCCCACAAACAAAAUUUUGGCAAGCUCCUCAGGACGCCACCCCUGUGCAAGAAUUAAGUAACCAUUCCAUCAGUAGCCGUGGGAGUUGGAGUCCAGGAAUUGAUGGCUAUUCUUCAAAUAUGAGUGGAGUGGCUGGAAAUAAAUUUGGGCAUAGCCAAAUUUCAACAAGUGCAACAAGGUCACAAUUUGAUCUUGACGAGUAUAUGAAGCGUCGAAGUGAAGAAGACUUUCUGUUUGAAAGAUGGAAUCAACAACAGAGAAUUCAUUCAGGCAAUCUCCUGCUUUGUAACCAAAUGUUCUUUUAGCUAUAAUCCUUUUCUCAAUUCCUUUAGUUCUGGGCCACACUAAUUUCUCUGUAUAGAUGUUUCGAUUCAAUUCUUGUGCAGGUAGCUGUUGACGCCUUGAAAACACAGGAAGCACUUAAGAUAGACAUGAAACAAAAACAUGAGGAGCCCUUCAUUCAAAACCAUAUCAACUUUGACAAAGCAUACUAAUUUAUAUAUCUUUUGUA